This 1730-nucleotide unclassified non-coding RNA is filed under the name Megachile rotundata (alfalfa leafcutting bee). RNAcentral's name for it is "mRNA turnover protein 4 homolog, transcript variant X1". The record is from RNAcentral. Lineage: Eukaryota; Metazoa; Arthropoda; Insecta; Hymenoptera; Megachilidae.
UAUUUGCCAUUUGUAAAUUUGCGCCAUUUUCUUUGAAUAGAACCCAUGUUAAAUAACUUGUAUAUCCGAAUAUCGAAGCACGUGCUCAGCCGAGUGAUAUCGUACAUCGUUAAUUUAUAUUUUAUUAGAAUUUGUAACAUAGUUUUCUGAUAACAUGCCAAAAUCAAAAAGAGAUAAAAAAAUAUCUCUCACUAAAACGAGCAAGAAAGGGCUUGCCCUGAAACAACAAAUUGUAGAGGAUGUUAGAAAUUGCGUUGAAAAAUAUGUCAGAAUAUUUCUUAUAUCCGUUCACAAUAUGCGAAACAACAAACUUAAAGAUUUACGAGCGGAAUGGAAAGACAGUCGAUUUUUCUUUGGUAAAAACAAAGUGAUAGCGUUAGCCUUGGGUAAGUCAUCGAAAGACGAAGUUACGGAAGGUAUACAUAAAUUAUCGGCGGCAUUAAAAGGACAAUGUGGUUUACUAUUUACCAACCGAAAGAAACACGAGGUAUUGAAAUGGAUGGAAGAGUACGAAGAAGCUGAUUAUGCUAGAUCAGGUUUUGUUGUACAAGAAACUAUAACGUUACCCGAAGGUCCUAUGCCUGAUUUCCCCCAUAGCAUAGAACCUCAUUUAAGACAAUUGGGUAUGCCUACAGCUUUACAAAAGGGUAUAGUAACAUUAAUUAAGGAGUAUACAGUAUGCAAAAGUGGACAAACGUUAACUCCUGAACAAGCACGGAUUUUGAAAUUGCUGGAUAAACCCUUAGCCACUUUUAAAAUGAUACCAUUAGGUGUAUUUUCCAAGAAACACGGUUACAAGAAACUUGUAUCCGAAGAUGAUGUUAAAGAAAACAUUGAAGGACAAAUGGUGGUAGAAGAAGAAGAAGAAAAAGAAGAUAAUACGUGAUAUUAUAUACUAUCGGUGUUUAAAAAAUUCACAUAAUAGCACUGGCAAAAUGAGCGAUAUAAAUUCUAACGAAAGAAGCAGCACAGUGUUCGUCGAUUCUCUAAAUGCAUCCUAUAACGAAGAAAAUAGGAAACGUAACAGACGAAAAUCAAAGUACGAGAAUAUAUAUGAUUAUAACAUACGAGACUUUAUGCUAUAAUACGUAGAACAAAAUACGUGGAGCUAGAAAAAGUGCAAAGCACUCUGUUACGUUGCAAAACUUGUAUCUUUAUCGUCUUUGGUCCGAUAACAUAUUUAAUAGACUCGAGAUUUAAGCAUAACAAUAGUGUUACCCAGUGUAUGAUUAAAAACCGAGAAGAAUGUAAAAAUUCAUAAAACACCAAAGGAUAUGUAAUAUUGUUUAAAGUUGUAUUUAUUUUGUAAACGUUUUAACUCGAUCAUGCAGUAUUUAUUUUUAUUGCGAGAAAGCAUUUCAGGUCUUAAUUUGCAAUAAUUACUACGGAAUGCUUUGAAAUAUUACGAGUUGAUAUAGAUAGAACACGUACAAUCGGGUGCAAUUUCAUUGUUGUUACUUCUUUGAUUAAAAAUUCGUUAAUACAUAACAAUUUGAAAAUACCGCCUACGUAAAUACAUACAAAAUUAUCUUACAAAGUAUCCUAUGAACGAAAUUAUAAAUAAAUUUUAAUUUAUUUGUACCAAGAGUAACAUACUUAAUAACAGAAAUAAAAAAUACUACCCAAAAUUAAACCUCAUAAUUCGCACAUCCAUACGUUCGUGCCGGUUGGUUAUUACGUAUUAUAGAAUGGAUGCGAUACGUAUAAUUAUUAUUGUUGUUAAUAUUCAU